This 255-nucleotide ribosomal RNA is filed under the name uncultured Desulfovibrio sp. RNAcentral's name for it is "partial 16S ribosomal RNA". It matches the Rfam family "Bacterial small subunit ribosomal RNA", at positions 1128 to 1382 of the family's 1533-position model. Lineage: Bacteria; Pseudomonadati; Thermodesulfobacteriota; Desulfovibrionia; Desulfovibrionales; Desulfovibrionaceae. The record is from RNAcentral.
AAGUUGGGCACUCUAGAGGGGACUGCCGGUGUCAAACCGGAGGAAGUGGGGAUGACGUCAAGUCCUCAUGGCCUUUAUGACCAGGGCUACACACGUACUACAAUGGCCGGCACAAAGGGCAGCAAGCCUGCGAAGGUAAGCUAAUCCCGAAAAACCGGUCUCAGUCCGGAUCGCAGUCUGCAACUCGACUGCGUGAAGUUGGAAUCGCUAGUAAUCGUGGAUCAGCAUGCCACGGUGAAUACGUUCCCGGGCCUU